This 620-nucleotide ribosomal RNA is filed under the name uncultured Lachnospiraceae bacterium. RNAcentral's name for it is "bacterial SSU rRNA". It matches the Rfam family "Bacterial small subunit ribosomal RNA", at positions 70 to 702 of the family's 1533-position model. Lineage: Bacteria; Bacillati; Bacillota; Clostridia; Lachnospirales; Lachnospiraceae. The record is from RNAcentral.
GAAGUUUUCGGAUGGAAUCUUGAUUGACUGAGUGGCGGACGGGUGAGUAACGCGUGGAUAACCUGCCUCACACUGGGGGAUAACAGUUAGAAAUGACUGCUAAUACCGCAUAAGCGCACAGUGCCGCAUGGCAGUGUGUGAAAAACUCCGGUGGUGUGAGAUGGAUCCGCGUCUGAUUAGCCAGUUGGCGGGGUAACGGCCCACCAAAGCGACGAUCAGUAGCCGACCUGAGAGGGUGACCGGCCACAUUGGGACUGAGACACGGCCCAAACUCCUACGGGAGGCAGCAGUGGGGAAUAUUGCACAAUGGGCGAAAGCCUGAUGCAGCGACGCCGCGUGAGUGAAGAAGUAUUUCGGUAUGUAAAGCUCUAUCAGCAGGGAAGAAAAUGACGGUACCUGACUAAGAAGCCCCGGCUAACUACGUGCCAGCAGCCGCGGUAAUACGUAGGGGGCAAGCGUUAUCCGGAUUUACUGGGUGUAAAGGGAGCGUAGACGGCGAAGCAAGUCUGAAGUGAAAACCCAGGGCUCAACCCUGGGACUGCUUUGGAAACUGUUUUGCUAGAGUGUCGGAGAGGUAAGUGGAAUUCCUAGUGUAGCGGUGAAAUGCGUAGAUAUUAGGA